Molecule: small nuclear RNA, 163 nt
Filed under: Carlito syrichta (Philippine tarsier)
Lineage: Eukaryota; Metazoa; Chordata; Mammalia; Primates; Tarsiidae
Description: U1 spliceosomal RNA (ENSTSYG00000031922.1)
Rfam family: U1 spliceosomal RNA
About the family: U1 is a small nuclear RNA (snRNA) component of the spliceosome (involved in pre-mRNA splicing).
Source: Rfam by way of RNAcentral
AUACUUACCUGGUAAGGAGACACCAUGAUGACAAAGGUGGUUUUCCCAGGGUGAGGCUCACCCAUUGCACUCCAGGUGUGCUGACCCCUGCGAUUUCCCCAAAUGCAGAAAAUUCGACUGCAAUAUUCAUGGUAUUGGGGGACUACAUUCACACUGUCCCCUG